This 253-nucleotide ribosomal RNA is filed under the name uncultured bacterium. RNAcentral describes it as "partial 16S ribosomal RNA". It matches the Rfam family "Bacterial small subunit ribosomal RNA", at positions 524 to 776 of the family's 1533-position model. The record is from RNAcentral.
UACGGGGGGGGCAAGCGUUGGUCGGAAUUACUGGGCGGAAAGGGCUUGUAGGUGGCCAACUAAGUCAGACGUGAAAUCCCUCGGCUUAACCGGGGAACUGCGUCUGAUACUGGAUGGCUAGAGUUUGGGAGAGGGAUGCGGAAUUCCAGGUGUAGCGGUGAAAUGCGUAGAUAUCUGGAGGAACACCGGUGGCGAAGGCGGCAUCCUGGACCAACACUGACGCUGAGGAGCGAAAGCCAGGGGAGCAAACGGG